UAAAUAUGAAAGAAAUAAAAGCAUAAAUAUUAAUUUCUCAUUUAUUCAAUAUUGUCCUUUGUUUUGUCGUUCUUCACUAGCUAAAACCUAAAAGUAAAGUGUUUAUUAUUCAAAUAUUUGAAAAUGAAGUAAACAAUGCAAUUAUUUCGCUUGUAUCGGUUGAAUGUAACCAAGCAAGGCAUCGAACGUUGAGCUCUCCAUCCAAAUCGGAAACAAGAAAAAAGAAAAAAAAAAAGCGAGAAAAAUAGAAUUAAUUUGAAAUAUAAAAUAUUGCUUAUGCAAUGAAAAAUAGCGUUUCGAAUUAAAUGAUUUGUAAUUGCUUUGUAGACUUUUAUUCGCUUAAAAAAAAGUUUACGUAUAAAUAAUUCAAUAAUUUUUAACAGCACGUGUAAACGCACUCGGAAUAUAAAAGGAUCCAAAGGAUAACGAUGAAAGGUUCGAAGUGUUGUUGAACAAAAAAAUGCCAGAUGACUUUGCGUUGUCAUUAAAAUGAAAUAACAUUUAUUGAAUCGAGACAGUGACACCUAACAGUGGUUUUCUAUAUCCUACUACUUACAAUCUUAAAGAUAAUAAGAAAAACUGCGUGACCACUUCCGCCCUCGGUCCGUCGAAGAUUCACAAGGAUCGUUCGUGAUGUGAAUCGAAGACAUUCAUCUUCAUCUUCACGUUUUUUCAAUAACAUCACUGAAAUGGAACUUGCCUUUAAACGUGCAAUUUAUUAAAACAACAAACAAAAUAGAGAUAAAAAUUUACGCGGCAACGAACCCAACAUCAAAUUCCAUUUCUGUGUGUAUUAUAAAUAUUUUCACGACUUUCCAUAAAAAUCGUCGAUUGUUCUUCUAUACAACGUACAUGUCAACGUAUUAUUUUUCACCAAGCAUAUUUUUCAUCUUAGCGAGGAAGGAUAAAAUUCGGCCAAAAAAAAAAAAAAAAUAACUAACUAAAACUAAAAAACUAAAACUCGACGAAGCCACCAUUUUUGUAAUAAAUCUUUUGGCGCCCUCUGUAAUCUUACAGAAAUUCCUUUCGAAAUUCAAUUUCAUUUCGUUUCUAUAUUUCUAUCGAGGUACGAUAUUCUUCCAAUGAAAUAAAAAAAAAAAAAGAAAAUCCAAUAAAAAAACUACUUCACAGACACGAUUCAAAUUCAAAAUUAACGAAAAAAAAAAAAAAAUACUCGAAUAAAAUAAAUUCAAAGAGAGAAAUACAUACAUUUCGAAACGUCUGUUCGAAAAUUCGAGAGGAGUAAAAAAAAAG
Molecule: long non-coding RNA, 1254 nt
Organism: Apis florea (little honeybee)
Lineage: Eukaryota; Metazoa; Arthropoda; Insecta; Hymenoptera; Apidae
Source: RefSeq, a predicted model, not a curated record